ACAUAGGGCAGGGGAUCUUGGUCAGUGACGUGUAUUUAUCCGAUCCUGAAAUGGGACUCGGGCUCUUUCCUCUAUUACAUCACAAUUAGUCAAAUCCUCCCUAGAAUGUGUGCUCUGUGCAUAGCCCAUGGACACAUGCUCACUCCCUUCUGAUUCCUCACCUAACCCCCUGACAUCUUUAUCUUUAAUGGCUCCUCUUAUAAAUCUCUUCCAGGGCUCUGGGCCUUUCCUCUCUCUCUCUCUCCCUUUUUUCUGAAUUAUAAUUAUUUAUGUCAAAACUCCCAGAGGGCAGGCAACACAUUUUAUUCAAGUUUGAAUUGUGGGCAACUAGCACAGAACCUGGAACCCAAAUACAUAAUUCUGUGAUAACUACACAAGUGUCUCAGACAACCAUCUAGCAAAUUAAAAUAGCUGAUGGCCCUGUGGAAUAUCAGAUUCAAAAUAAUUCUAAAUUUUCCUGGAAUAACUGAAGUCUUCAAGAGAGAAGUGAAGGUUGUCUCUUCAUCAUGUGAAAAUCACUACUGAGGACGUAUGUGUGCACACUCUCCAGGAGCGCAUGUGUAGUGAACAGGGCCACGUGCUGAGGCAAACAGGGUAGCAGAGGCCAGGUGUGGAAGGGACACUGGAAACUCAGCCACAGCACACCCUCUGUACCUUCGGAAUCUUGUACCAUAGUCACAUAGUAUUCAUUCCCCAAAGUGCCAUGUGGAGAUUUUUUUAAAGAAAUCAACCUAAAAAGACUUACUUCCUCCACAGUACAGUGGGGACGCCUCAGCCCCUUGCCACCCUCUUCAGAAACCAUCUCGGUGACAGCCUGCUCCUGAGGUCUCCACAGGGAGGAACUCUCUGCAGUGCCUUUGCUAUGGCGACGGCCACUUGGUCUUCUAUUAUAGCCUUCUGAGUUCAAAGAAAAACUGAGAAAAGAAGAAAAAGAACGUACCGUCAAAGCGCUUCAAGUACCGACCCUCACGCUCCUAGUCACUCUGAGACUGCUGUGACCACACCUGCUGUGUCCCACAGGGGCAUCCGUCAAAGUGGGAUCUCCCCAGCGUCCCACUGCAGCACGGCCAUGUGCAGCCACACCAAAGCCCUCUCCCUCGCGGCCACUUUCCAACAUCAGCCCCGGGUUCACCUGCUUAUUGCCAUCACCCUCCAGGACUAUUCCUUUAGUCACUGGGCAACACAGGAAUUAAUUACUGGUGAGAUUAU
Molecule: non-coding RNA, 1209 nt
Organism: Heterocephalus glaber (naked mole-rat)
Lineage: Eukaryota; Metazoa; Chordata; Mammalia; Rodentia; Bathyergidae
Source: RefSeq, a predicted model, not a curated record